RNAcentral lists this long non-coding RNA (653 nucleotides) under Homo sapiens (human). RNAcentral describes it as "HSALNT0279419". The record is from RNAcentral. Lineage: Eukaryota; Metazoa; Chordata; Mammalia; Primates; Hominidae.
CUUGAAGACAUCUGAGAGUUCACGCCACAGGCUGUGUUUGAGCACAGGGCUCUGCCUGGGUGGGCCAGAUGGAGGUCAGUGACAUGAGGGAGCUGGGUACAUUGGGAGCUGCCCAGGGGUCUGGCAGGAGACCAGGAGGCAGGGGCUGUACCAAGAGGACGGGCCAGAGGCAGAGGAAGCUGUGCUGUGAGUUUCCAGGGUGGGCAGUGACCUCUGAUUGAUAACCUGACCCCAAAUGGAAACCUGGACGGUGCCCUGACUGCUGUCUCUGCUGCUGUUCUCUUCCCAGGAUGGAGCCUCUUCUAACCUGCCCACCUCAUCUCUCCUUCUCCCCUUGCCCACUCUGGCCCUUCCGUCCUUUCCUGAGGCCAAGAAGUGGGAGCAGGAGGGAAGUGAGGGACCGGCUCCACCACCGACCUUGGAGUGUGGAGCUGACAGGUCCACCGGGCUGUGCCAGGCCUGAGGCUCCUCUGUGAUCAGGCAGUGGGCAACACCAAGCCAGGCCUCUUCAGAGAGAAUGCUGAGGACGGGGCAGGAGGGUGCCCAGGGAGCCACGCCGUGGCGGAGCCUGACUGUGCUCUGGGCGGCCCACUGCCUGGGGCAGGGGAGACAAUCCCAUCCUCAUGCCUCCUGGGAAAGCAGCACCAGGCACA